ACGGCAGCGCGGGCUUCGGCCUGGCGGCGAGUGGCGGACGGGUGAGUAAUGCAUAGGAAUCUGCCCAGUAGCGGGGGACAACCUGGGGAAACUCAGGCUAAUACCGCAUACGCCCUACGGGGGAAAGCGGGGGACCUUCGGGCCUCGCACUAUUGGAUGAGCCUAUGUCAGAUUAGCUUGUUGGUGGGGUAAAAGCCUACCAAGGCGACGAUCUGUAGCUGGUCUGAGAGGACGAUCAGCCACACUGGGACUGAGACACGGCCCAGACUCCUACGGGAGGCAGCAGUGGGGAAUAUUGCACAAUGGGCGAAAGCCUGAUGCAGCAAUGCCGCGUGUGUGAAGAAGGCCUGCGGGUUGUAAAGCACUUUCAGUAGGGAGGAAACAGUAACGGAACAAUACCCGUUGCCUUGACGUUACCUACAGAAGAAGCACCGGCUAACUCUGUGCCAGCAGCCGCGGUAAUACAGAGGGUGCAAGCGUUAAUCGGAAUUACUGGGCGUAAAGCGCGCGUAGGUGGUGUGGUCAGUCGGAUGUGAAAGCCCCGGGCUUAACCUGGGAAUUGCAUUCGAUACUGCCAGACUAGAGUGUAGUAGAGGGAAGCGGAAUUCCAGGUGUAGCGGUGAAAUGCGUAGAUAUCUGGAGGAACAUCAGUGGCGAAGGCGGCUUCCUGGACUAACACUGACACUGAGGUGCGAAAGCGUGGGGGAGCAAACAGGAUUAGAUACCCUGAUAGUCCACGCCGUAAACGAUGUGUGCUAGACGUUGGGGGGCUUAGCCCUUCGGUGUCGCCGCUAACGCAAU
Molecule: ribosomal RNA, 801 nt
Filed under: uncultured bacterium
Lineage: Bacteria
Description: bacterial SSU rRNA
Rfam family: Bacterial small subunit ribosomal RNA
Source: RNAcentral